RNAcentral lists this ribosomal RNA (801 nucleotides) under uncultured Rhizophagus. RNAcentral's name for it is "LSU rRNA". It matches the Rfam family "Eukaryotic large subunit ribosomal RNA", at positions 47 to 694 of the family's 3401-position model. The record is from RNAcentral. Lineage: Eukaryota; Fungi; Glomeromycota; Glomeromycetes; Glomerales; Glomeraceae.
UAAGCGGAGGAAAAGAAACUAACAAUGAUUCCCCCAGUAACUGCGAGUGAAGAGGGACAAGCUCAAAUUUUAAAUCUGUUGGGUUUACCUAACCGAGUUGUAAUUUGAAGAGGCGUUUUCUGUGUUUUUGAUCAGUCCAAGUCCUUUGGGAUAAGGCAUCAUGGAGGGUGAGAAUCCCGUCCGGUUGAUCAGAUUCGCUUUACGAUACGUCAUCUAAGAGUCAAGUUGUUUGGGAUUGCAGCUUAAAAUGGGAGGUAAAUUUCUCCUAAGGCUAAAUAACGGCGAGAGACCGAUAGCGAACAAGUACCGUGAGGGAAAGAUGAAAAGGACUUUGAAAAGAGAGUUAAACAGUACGUGAAAUUGUUGAAAGGGAAACGAUUGAAGUCAGUCAUACCGGCGGGUAAUCAGCCUUUCGGGUGCGAUUCUGUGGAGUGUGAGGAGUUAAACGCCUUCGUGCCUGCAUAUUCGUGCACCUUGGGUGUACUUGCCCGUGUGGUAAGUUAACAUCAAUUUUGGGUCGUCAUAAAAUGACUGGUGGAAUGUAGCUUCGGUCUCGUACUGAAGUGUUAUAGCCUCCGGUAGAUGUGAUGACCGGGAUUGAGGAUUGCAACGGAUACCCUUCGGGGCUACCUGUCUGAUCUCUGAAAGUUGCUCUGGUGCCGAAAGCGUGCUUUACGGUCAUCAAAGUUGACGUUCAAUAGGUUAGAACGGGUUUAAAUUCGUUAAGGAUGUUGNCGUAAUGGCUUUAAACGACCGUCUUUGAAACACGGACCAAGGAGUCUUAGCAUGUAUGCGAGUGUU